UAGGGGGUCUGAGAGGAGACCCCCCACAUUGGACUGAGACACGGCCAAACUCCUACGGAAGGCAGCAG
This 68-nucleotide ribosomal RNA is filed under the name uncultured bacterium. Its description in RNAcentral is "partial 16S ribosomal RNA". The record is from RNAcentral.